RNAcentral lists this ribosomal RNA (465 nucleotides) under uncultured bacterium. RNAcentral describes it as "partial 16S ribosomal RNA". It matches the Rfam family "Bacterial small subunit ribosomal RNA", at positions 28 to 507 of the family's 1533-position model. The record is from RNAcentral.
GAUGAACGCUGGCGGCGUGCUUAACACAUGCAAGUCGAACGGAAAGGCUCCUGCUUGCAGGGGUACUCGAGUGGCGAACGGGUGAGUAACACGUGGGUGAUCUGCCCUGCACUUCGGGAUAAGCCUGGGAAACUGGGUCUAAUACCGGAUAGGACCACAUUUUGGAUGGUGUGGUGGAAAGUUUUUCGGUGUGGGAUGAGCUCGCGGCCUAUCAGCUUGUUGAUGGGGUAAUGGCCUACCAAGGCGUCGACGGGUAGCCGGCCUGAGAGGGUGUACGGCCACAUUGGGACUGAGAUACGGCCCAGACUCCUACGGGAGGCAGCAGUGGGGAAUAUUGCACAAUGGGCGCAAGCCUGAUGCAGCGACGCCGCGUGGGGGAUGACGGCCUUCGGGUUGUAAACUCCUUUCGCUAGGGACGAAGCGCAAGUGACGGUACCUGGAGAAGAAGCACCGGCUAACUACGUG